RNAcentral lists this ribosomal RNA (951 nucleotides) under Bacillus pumilus. Its description in RNAcentral is "bacterial SSU rRNA". It matches the Rfam family "Bacterial small subunit ribosomal RNA", at positions 8 to 941 of the family's 1533-position model. The record is from RNAcentral. Lineage: Bacteria; Bacillati; Bacillota; Bacilli; Caryophanales; Bacillaceae.
AGAGUUUGAUCCUGGCUCAGAACGAACGCUGGCGGCGUGCCUAAUACAUGCAAGUCGAGCGGACAGAAGGGAGCUUGCUCCCGGAUGUUAGCGGCGGACGGGUGAGUAACACGUGGGUAACCUGCCUGUAAGACUGGGAUAACUCCGGGAAACCGGAGCUAAUACCGGAUAGUUCCUUGAACCGCAUGGUUCAAGGAUGAAAGACGGUUUCGGCUGUCACUUACAGAUGGACCCGCGGCGCAUUAGCUAGUUGGUGGGGUAAUGGCUCACCAAGGCGACGAUGCGUAGCCGACCUGAGAGGGUGAUCGGCCACACUGGGACUGAGACACGGCCCAGACUCCUACGGGAGGCAGCAGUAGGGAAUCUUCCGCAAUGGACGAAAGUCUGACGGAGCAACGCCGCGUGAGUGAUGAAGGUUUUCGGAUCGUAAAGCUCUGUUGUUAGGGAAGAACAAGUGCGAGAGUAACUGCUCGCACCUUGACGGUACCUAACCAGAAAGCCACGGCUAACUACGUGCCAGCAGCCGCGGUAAUACGUAGGUGGCAAGCGUUGUCCGGAAUUAUUGGGCGUAAAGGGCUCGCAGGCGGUUUCUUAAGUCUGAUGUGAAAGCCCCCGGCUCAACCGGGGAGGGUCAUUGGAAACUGGGAAACUUGAGUGCAGAAGAGGAGAGUGGAAUUCCACGUGUAGCGGUGAAAUGCGUAGAGAUGUGGAGGAACACCAGUGGCGAAGGCGACUCUCUGGUCUGUAACUGACGCUGAGGAGCGAAAGCGUGGGGAGCGAACAGGAUUAGAUACCCUGGUAGUCCACGCCGUAAACGAUGAGUGCUAAGUGUUAGGGGGUUUCCGCCCCUUAGUGCUGCAGCUAACGCAUUAAGCACUCCGCCUGGGGAGUACGGUCGCAAGACUGAAACUCAAAGGAAUUGACGGGGGCCACCACAAGCGGUGGAGCAUG